AGAAUAUAAGAACCCGUUUUUUAAUUUUUAACUAAAAAAACUAAGAACCGGUUCUUAAAUAAGAGUUUUAAGAAUCAGUUCUUAACUUUUUUAGUUAAAAAUUAAGAUACGGAUUUUUAUGUUUU
Molecule: microRNA precursor, 125 nt
Filed under: Brassica napus (rape)
Lineage: Eukaryota; Viridiplantae; Streptophyta; Magnoliopsida; Brassicales; Brassicaceae
Description: MIR9563 microRNA precursor family
Rfam family: MIR9563 microRNA precursor family
Source: Rfam by way of RNAcentral